RNAcentral lists this ribosomal RNA (721 nucleotides) under uncultured Staphylococcus sp. Its description in RNAcentral is "bacterial SSU rRNA". It matches the Rfam family "Bacterial small subunit ribosomal RNA", at positions 60 to 763 of the family's 1533-position model. The record is from RNAcentral. Lineage: Bacteria; Bacillati; Bacillota; Bacilli; Caryophanales; Staphylococcaceae.
AGUCGAGCGAACAGACGAGGAGCUUGCUCCUCUGACGUUAGCGGCGGACGGGUGAGUAACACGUGGAUGACCAACCUAUAAGACUGGGAUAACUUCGGGAAACCGGAGCUAAUACCGGAUAAUAUAUUGAACCGCAUGGUUCAAUAGUGAAAGACGGUUUUGCUGUCACUUAUAGAUGGAUCCGCGCCGCAUUAGCUAGUUGGUAAGGUAACGGCUUACCAAGGCAACGAUGCGUAGCCGACCUGAGAGGGUGAUCGGCCACACUGGAACUGAGACACGGUCCAGACUCCUACGGGAGGCAGCAGUAGGGAAUCUUCCGCAAUGGGCGAAAGCUUGACGGAGCAACGCCGCGUGAGUGAUGAAGGUCUUCGGAUCGUAAAACUCUGUUAUUAGGGAAGAACAAAUGUGUAAGUAACUAUGCACGUCUUGACGGUACCUAAUCAGAAAGCCACGGCUAACUACGUGCCAGCAGCCGCGGUAAUACGUAGGUGGCAAGCGUUAUCCGGAAUUAUUGGGCGUAAAGCGCGCGUAGGCGGUUUUUUAAGUCUGAUGUGAAAGCCCACGGCUCAACCGUGGAGGGUCAUUGGAAACUGGAAAACUUGAGUGCAGAAGAGGAAAGUGGAAUUCCAUGUGUAGCGGUGAAAUGCGCAGAGAUAUGGAGGAACACCAGUGGCGAAGGCGACUUUCUGGUCUGUAACUGACGCUGAUGUGCGAAAGCGUG